Molecule: ribosomal RNA, 460 nt
Filed under: uncultured bacterium
Lineage: Bacteria
Description: partial 16S ribosomal RNA
Rfam family: Bacterial small subunit ribosomal RNA
Source: RNAcentral
CCUACGGGUAGCUGCAGUGAGGAAUAUUGGUCAAUGGCCGGAAGGCUGAACCAGCCAUGCCGCGUGAAGGUCAGUGCCCUAUGGGCGUUAAACUUCUUUUGUGCGGGAGCAAUAAUGGUCACGUGUGGCCAGACGAGAGUACCGUACGAAUAAGCAUCGGCUAACUCCGGGCCAGCAGCCGCGGUAAUACGGGGGAUGCAAGCGUUAUCCUGAUUUAGUGGGAUUAAAGGGGGCGUAGGCUGUGAGGUAAGUCAGCGGUGAAAUGCCCCCGAUCAACGGGGUGAAGUGCCAUUGAUACUGCCGUGCUGGAAUGCGGAUGCCGUGGGAGGAAUGUGUGGUGUAGCGGUGAAAUGCAUAGAUAUCACACAGAACACCGAUUGCGAAGGCAUCUCACGAAUCCGCGAUUGACGCUGAUGCACGAAAGCGUGGGUAUCAAACAGGAUUAGAUACCCCUGUAGUC